This 356-nucleotide ribosomal RNA is filed under the name uncultured bacterium. RNAcentral describes it as "bacterial SSU rRNA". It matches the Rfam family "Bacterial small subunit ribosomal RNA", at positions 29 to 412 of the family's 1533-position model. The record is from RNAcentral.
AACGAACGCUGGCGGCAGGCCUAACACAUGCAAGUCGAACGCUCCGCAAGGGGAGUGGCGCACGGGUGAGUAACACGUGGGAACCUACCUUCUGGUACGGAACAACCAAGGGAAACUUUGGCUAAGACCGUAUACGACCUCCGGGUGAAAGAUUGAUCGCCGGAAGAGGGGCCCGCGUCCGAUUAGGUAGUUGGUGAGGUAACGGCUCACCAAGCCUUCGAUCGGUAGCUGGUCUGAGAGGAUGACCAGCCACACUGGGACUGAGACACGGCCCACGACUCCUACGGGAGGCAGCAGUGGGGAAGUAUUGGACAAUGGGCGCAAGCCUGAUCCAGCCAUGCCGCGUGAGUGAUGAA